CACCUCGUGGUGCAAUGCCAGCAUGUCUGACUCCAGAUCAGAAGGCUGUGUAUUCAAGUCACACUGGAGUCA
Molecule: transfer RNA, 72 nt
Filed under: Pygoscelis adeliae (Adelie penguin)
Lineage: Eukaryota; Metazoa; Chordata; Aves; Sphenisciformes; Spheniscidae
Rfam family: tRNA
About the family: Transfer RNA (tRNA) molecules are approximately 80 nucleotides in length. Their secondary structure includes four short double-helical elements and three loops (D, anti-codon, and T loops).
Source: Rfam by way of RNAcentral